AGAUUCACUUUGGUAACAUAUUUACUAAAAUUGGAAUGAUACAGAGAAUUUUAACAUUGGCCCCAUGCAAGGAUGACAUGCAAAUUCAUGAAGCAUUGUAUAUAUUU
Molecule: small nuclear RNA, 107 nt
Organism: Peromyscus maniculatus bairdii (prairie deer mouse)
Lineage: Eukaryota; Metazoa; Chordata; Mammalia; Rodentia; Cricetidae
Source: Ensembl